UUCUUUUAUAUUAUUUUUUUCUCCCAUCCCUCCUUUUUCCCCCUUACGUAUGUGAAAGGACACAAUGUGAAACCCAGUGUAUUUGAUGUGCUAAUGGUGAACAUAUUACACUAUAUGCAAAUUCUCCACCUGCCCCUCCUACAUAAGCAGUGGUCUGUAUGUGCUGGUGAGGAGGAGAAGAGCAUCUCCAUUCAGUUUAGUCUAAUACGAAACAACAAUGAUCUCCUCAGUGCUGCUGCUGCUGCUGCUAACAGCUUUCAGUGGUGUAGACUGUGUGGAGCUCACUCAGGCUGAUUCUAAGGUAGUAAAACCUGGAGAAUCGUUCUCCAUCUCCUGUAAGAUCUCAGAGUCGAGCUACUGUAUUAACUGGAUACGGCAGCCUGCUGGGAAAACACUGGAAUGGCUUGGAUAUCUGUGUAGUAGUGGUAGCACUAAUAUCAAAGACACAGUGAAGAGCAAGAUCAGUUUCAGUCAGGACACGUCCAGCAGCACAGUGUUUUUACAAGGCCAGAACUUUCAGUCUGGGGACACAGCUGUUUAUUACUGCGCCAGAGAGCCACAGCGUUACAACCACCCAGCUGACCUGAACAAAAACAUCCUCAACAUCCUCAACAACUCACUGAUUACAUGUACUCAGCAUUCCUCUCCAUGUUUAUUUUUAUGUGAUGUCUUCUAUUCCAAUCCAUACCUGCUUUGCUAA
Colossoma macropomum (tambaqui) is the source of this 700-nucleotide non-coding RNA. NCBI's taxonomy places the organism in Eukaryota, Metazoa, Chordata, Actinopteri, Characiformes, Serrasalmidae. The record is from the annotation of a RefSeq genome assembly.